This 127-nucleotide small RNA is filed under the name Marmota monax (woodchuck). The record is from RNAcentral. Lineage: Eukaryota; Metazoa; Chordata; Mammalia; Rodentia; Sciuridae.
GCUGGGCACGGUGGCGCACACCUGUAAUCCCAGCAACUCGGGAGGCUGAGGCAGGAGGCUCAGGAGUUCAAAGCCAGCCUCAGCAAUUUAUCAAAGCCCUGAACAACUCAGUGAGACCCUGUCUCAA